UAAGACAUGCAAGUCGAGCGAGAAAGNCCCUUCGGGGUGAGUACAGCGGCGGACGGGUGAGUAACGCGUAGGAAUCUACCCAGUAGUGGGGGACAACUAGUGGAAACGCUAGCUAAUACCGCAUACGCCCUAAGGGGGAAAGCGGGGGAUCUUCGGACCUCGUGCUAUUGGAUGAGCCUGCGUAAGAUUAGCUUGUUGGUGAGGUAAUGGCUCACCAAGGCGACGAUCUUUAGCUGGUCUGAGAGGAUGAUCAGCCACACCGGGACUGAGACACGGCCCGGACUCCUACGGGAGGCAGCAGUCGGGAAUAUUGCGCAAUGGGCGAAAGCCUGACGCAGCCAUGCCGCGUGUGUGAAGAAGGCCCUAGGGUUGUAAAGCACUUUCAAUUGGGAGGAAAAGCUAAUGGUUAAUAACCAUUAGCCCUGACGUUACCUUUAGAAGAAGCACCGGCUAACUCCGUGCCAGCAGCCGCGGUAAUACGGAGGGUGCAAGCGUUAAUCGGAAUUACUGGGCGUAAAGCGCGCGUAGGCGGUUUUUUAAGUCGGAUGUGAAAGCCCCGGGCUCAACCUGGGAACUGCAUCCGAUACUGGAUGACUAGAAUGCGGGAGAGGGAGGUAGAAUUCCAUGUGUAGCAGUGAAAUGCGUAGAUAUAUGGAGGAAUACCAGUGGCGAAGGCGGCCUCCUGGCUCGACAUUGACGCUGAGGUGCGAAAGCGUGGGGAGCAAACGGGAUUAGAUACCCCGGUAGUCCACGCCGUAAACGAUGUCUACUAGCUGUAGGGGUACUUGAGACCUUUGUAGCGCAGCUAACGCAAUAANUANACCGC
This 826-nucleotide ribosomal RNA is filed under the name uncultured Gammaproteobacteria bacterium. Its description in RNAcentral is "SSU rRNA". It matches the Rfam family "Bacterial small subunit ribosomal RNA", at positions 49 to 872 of the family's 1533-position model. The record is from RNAcentral. Lineage: Bacteria; Pseudomonadati; Pseudomonadota; Gammaproteobacteria.